Molecule: ribosomal RNA, 775 nt
Filed under: uncultured Neocallimastigales
Lineage: Eukaryota; Fungi; Neocallimastigomycota; Neocallimastigomycetes; Neocallimastigales
Description: partial large subunit ribosomal RNA
Rfam family: Eukaryotic large subunit ribosomal RNA
Source: RNAcentral
GUAGUCUCGCACAGAUGCAUAUCAAUAAGCGGAGGAAAAGAAACUAACAAGGAUUCCCCUAGUAACGGCGAGUGAAGCGGGAAGAGCUCAAAUUUGAAAUCUUAAAGGGUUUCCCUUUACGAAUUGUAGUUUAAAGAAGUGUUUUCUGUUGAGGUUUUGGUAAAAGUUCUUUGGAAUAGGACAUCAUAGAGGGUGAGAAUCCCGUAUUUGACCUUUACUUUCAACUUUGUGAUACACUUUCAAAGAGUCGGAUUGUUUGGGAAUGCAGUCCAAAAUGGGUGGCAAAUUUCAUCUAAAGCUAAAUAUUGGCGAGAGACCGAUAGCGAACAAGUACCGUGAGGGAAAGAUGAAAAGAACUUUGAAAAGAGAGUUAAACAGUACGUGAAAUUGUCAAAAGGGAAGCGUUUGACACCAGUGUUGUUUUUCUGAAAAUCAAUUAAAGAACUGUUUAUGCUAAGCUGUUUAGACUUUAUCAGCUAUCUGUUUAGUUUUGAGCUUUUCUUUAAUGCACUUUUCAGUUAACAAGUCAACAUCAAUUUCUUUUGCUGUAAAAAAGCUUGAGGAAGGUGGCUUGAGAUUCGUCUUAAGUGUUUAUAGCCUCUUGCCUAUGCAGUCGGAGAGAUUGAGGUCUGCAGCGUAGAUCCUUCGGGGCUAAAUGCAUUUGUGCUAAGUUAUAGCAUUUUAUAGACAACUUGUUGACUAUGAUUUGUCUUGUAGCUUACUCGCUUAUGUUAGUUUUACCUACGCUUAGGAUGUUGAACUACUGAGACAUAGA